RNAcentral lists this ribosomal RNA (206 nucleotides) under uncultured bacterium. RNAcentral describes it as "partial 16S ribosomal RNA". It matches the Rfam family "Bacterial small subunit ribosomal RNA", at positions 1294 to 1500 of the family's 1533-position model. The record is from RNAcentral.
CGGAUUGCAGGCUGAAAUUCGCCUGUAUGAAGCCGGAAUUGCUAGUAAUGGCAGGUCAGCAUACUGCCGUGAAUACGUUCCCGGGCCUUGUACACACCGCCCGUCACACCAUGAGAGUUGGGGAUACCCAAAGCCCGUGAGCCAACUUUUAGAGGCAGCGGUCUAAGGUAGAAUCAAUGAUUGGGGUGAAGUCGUAACAAGGUACC